RNAcentral lists this ribosomal RNA (473 nucleotides) under uncultured eukaryote. RNAcentral's name for it is "bacterial SSU rRNA". It matches the Rfam family "Eukaryotic small subunit ribosomal RNA", at positions 294 to 768 of the family's 1831-position model. The record is from RNAcentral.
GCCGAAUGAGUUUCUGACCUAUCAACUCGAGACGGCGGGGUAGAGGCCCGCCGCGGUAACGACGGGUAACGGGGAAUCAGGGUUCGAUUCCGGAGAGGGAGCCCGAGAAACGGCUACCACUUCCAAGGAAGGCAGCAGGCGCGCAACUUACCCUAAUCUCGAUUCGAGGAGGUAGUGACAAGAAAUACCGAUGCGGGACCCUACGGGUGCCGCGUUCGGAAUGAGUACGAUUCGAACCACCUAACGAGGAACGAUCGGAGGGCAAGUCUGGUGCCAGCAGCCGCGGUAAUUCCAGCUCCAAUAGCGUACGUUAAAGUUGCUGCAGUUAAAAAAGCUCGUAGUUGAAACGUUCGGGUUCCGCGGGACGGGGCCGCCCCGCGAGGGACGGCGCCGCCCCGGGGCUCGUGAUAUCUCAUCUCGCCGCCCGUCGCGAGGCGGACGGAGGGAUGGAUGAGGUUACCUGGAAAAAAAUC